GUUCUGGAAGGAAGAUUACUACAUACUUUCCUGUAUGACAUUAAUUGAGAAAUCCUGGGCCAAUGUCUGUCUGAGGAAACGUAGAUCUGCCUGUUCACAGGAUAGAGACUUUGAAGACUGUGUAGAGGAGCUUUCAAUUGACCAACUUGAGUUACAACCAGCCCUUGGAAAUCAAUUGACAGUCUAGCAGCUUUGUAUCUCCCCAUUAAUGGUGAAAUCUUGGAAACAGCCCAGUUGCCCAUCAACAGAUGAAUGAAGAAAAUAUGGUUUUUAUAUACAAUGGAGUACUACACUUAUAAAGAACGAUACACUUGAGACAUUUUAAAGUAAAUGGAUGCACCUCGAGAACAUAAGUGAAAUAAGUUGGAC
RNAcentral lists this long non-coding RNA (369 nucleotides) under Heterocephalus glaber (naked mole-rat). RNAcentral's name for it is "lncRNA (ENSHGLG00100046792.1)". The record is from RNAcentral. Lineage: Eukaryota; Metazoa; Chordata; Mammalia; Rodentia; Bathyergidae.